This 450-nucleotide ribosomal RNA is filed under the name uncultured bacterium. RNAcentral's name for it is "partial 16S ribosomal RNA". It matches the Rfam family "Bacterial small subunit ribosomal RNA", at positions 354 to 796 of the family's 1533-position model. The record is from RNAcentral.
GUGGGGAAUUUUGGACAAUGGGCGCAAGCCUGAUCCAGCAAUGCCGCGUGCAGGAAGAAGGCCUUCGGGUUGUAAACUGCUUUUGUACGGAACGAAACGGUCCUGGUUAAUACCUGGGGCUAAUGACGGUACCGUAAGAAUAAGCACCGGCUAACUACGUGCCAGCAGCCGCGGUAAUACGUAGGGUGCAAGCGUUAAUCGGAAUUACUGGGCGUAAAGCGUGCGCAGGCGGUUUUGUAAGACAGGCGUGAAAUCCCCGGGCUCAACCUGGGAAUUGCGCUUGUGACUGCAGUGCUGGAGUGCGGCAGAGGGGGAUGGAAUUCCGCGUGUAGCAGUGAAAUGCGUAGAUAUGCGGAGGAACACCGAUGGCGAAGGCAAUCCCCUGGGCCUGCACUGACGCUCAUGCACGAAAGCGUGGGGAGCAAACAGGAUUAGAAACCCCGGUAGUCC